GCCUUCGUGGUGCAGUGGUCAGCACGCUGGGCGCGUAUUCCAGAGGUCCGCGAUUCGAAUCCCGGUGAAGGCG
Non-coding RNA from Stegodyphus mimosarum, 73 nucleotides. The record is from Rfam. NCBI's taxonomy places the organism in Eukaryota, Metazoa, Arthropoda, Arachnida, Araneae, Eresidae.